UAAAUCAUCAAUAUUAAUCAUCUUAACAUCUUCUCUUGGCUUCUCACUUCUCUUGAUUUUCUCCCUUUUUCUCCAAAAACAAGUUUCACGUAAUCCCUGUUUUUUUUUUUUAAUUCUAACUCUCCCCUUUUAUAUAAAUCCUUAACCUACUUAUUUUCUCUUAUUUCCAAAUCUGCCCUCAAAGUCUCAAUAUUCUAUUUUAAUAUAUAUAUAUAUAUAUAUAUAUAAUAUAAAAUAUUUCUAUAACGAAUGACAAAUAUAUCUCUAUAACAUAUAUAUUUCUACACCAAAAAUGAAAUAUAUUUCCACAACAAAUAACAUAAUAUUUAUAAACCAAAUAACAUAUAUUUCUACAACAAAUAACAUAUUAUUUCUACACCAAAUGACAUAUAUUUCUACAACAAAUAACAUAUUAUUUCUACACCAAAUAACAUAUAUUUCUACAACAAAUAACAUAAUAUUUUACUAAUAAAUAUCAACAUAUAACAUAACAAAAUAUCACUCAUCUAAUUUCCAAAACAACCUCCACAACUUAAUCUUAUUUUAUUUUCAAAUCCUAUUCUAUUAAAUAAUAAAAUAAGCCACUUAAUAAAUCAACAACACAUCACAAUAAUCAUAUAAAUCACAUAAGUCAUAAAAAUAGACUCUAAACUCAAUAAAAUAUUCAAAUAAUAAAAUUGGGCGUUACAACUUGAGACCUGCAGAUCUCAAUAAACCUGGAACGUCAGAGAAUCGAUAACAAAACCACCGACACACUGGUUUCAAGAUGCGCUUGAAUCCAGAUUGUGGGAUGAGUCCAACACAUUGUAACCAAACAUCUCUUUCGGGUUAAUAAAACCAGACCCUUUCAGCUUUAUGAAACCGAACUGAGGCCACAUUUGUUACCACCCAAUCUCAGAUCAGAAAUACACACAUAAAUAAACACAAACAUACAAAACAAACAGAACCUAACAAAAGACACGAACACAUGCGUAAGAGCAAAGAACCGAACUCCACAUCCAGUAACCGGAGAGCAGAAACUCCGCAACCAGCAACUGAGAAAAAAAACAGCUCCACCACCUAGCAAAAAGGACCCCCAUCAUCCGAAGUAGAUGAGGCACACCCAAAACCUUAAAAUACCCACAAAUCGAGCUCAGUCUAGUGAAGAUCUACAAAUCAAGGAACGUCACCACCAACCAAACUGGAACCUCCCAAACAGUUGCAACAACGGCAGAAACAGGGCAAACUUGCGUCCAAACUAGAUAUGACGACGACCAAAGAGCAAACACGAACGAAAGUUGAGGGUCGCCGGUGGUGUGGAGAACCAACGAUCUCGUCCACCACCAAAGAAAGAUAAUACAUCGGGCCUUGUUGUUUGGAUGCGAAGGGGAAGAAAGGAGGAAGUUUGUGGUGGUGUUUAUUAAGAAGGAAAAGAGAGGUUGAUGGGUAGUGAGAGACGAGCUCUAAACCUGUUAUUUUAAUUAACUCCACUCAGAUCUCGGGGCACUGUUUUUAAUUAAUUUGAAGUACCUUUUGAAUUAGAAGAAUGUGUGAAACUCUUGUGUGAUUAAAUUUUAUUUGUGAUUUAAAUUAGAAAAAUACUAGUUAUGUUAGGGUGUUACAUGUAAUGCUUAUUAAAACAUAAAUUUGUGUGUAUACAUUAUAGUUUAUAUUUAUGGUCUAUCUCCGUUAAAAAAAAAAUAUGGUCUACCUAAACUUUUUUUUUCUAGCUCCGCUACCACGCGCAACAACGCAUUUUCAAGGUAUUGUCUACUUUAAGUAUUGUGUAAGUCCACAAAAUUUUGUCCUUUGUAUAAGUUGUUUCAAUGGAUUGAGAAAUAUAAGUGUUAUUAAUAAAAGGGUUAAAUAUGUUUUUGGUCCCUAUAAAUAUAUCAACUUUUCGUUUUAGUCUCUCUAAAAAAUUUCUUCGUUAUUUAGUCUCCCAGAAGUUUUUUAUCUUCGCUUUUGGUCCCUCCUUUCAAGUAAACUCAUAUGUAGAAUUCAUAUUUUUAAAUGAAAUUUUGAAAAAAUGAUUAGAAUAUCAUAAAAAUCCCUCAAAAAAAAUUAGAAUUUUUUAACAAAACAUGAAUUAAAUAUGAAAUUCAUAUUUAAUUCAUGUUUUAUUGAAAAAUUCUAAUUCUUUUGAGAGAUUUUUAUAAUAUUCUACAUCGAUGCACAAUUUCAUUAAAAAAAAUACAAAGUUUACACAUGAGUUGACUUAAAAAUGGGGACUAAAAGUUGUGCUUGAAAAAUUUAUUGGCACUAAAAGUCGAUAGAAAAUUUUAGAGAGACUAAAAUGAAAAGUUGAUAUAUUUAUAGGGAGCAAAAACAUACUUAACCCUUAAUAUAAUAUCAUACCUGCUUAAAAAGAAAUAUCAUACACAUCAAUUCCCAUACAACAUGAUCCUUGGUGCUAGUGGUAAGAUAUUUGACUUCUUAAACAUGUCAAUUAAACGGUGGUAAAAACUUUAUAUCCAUAGCAUGAUAACCUUAAAACAACGAGAGAUUUAUAUUAUACAUCAACGAUACUUUUUUUUAGAGAGAUCAAGGAAACUAAAUUUCCAUAUUUAAAUUUUUAAUAUACAUGAACAACCUUUAUUUACCAUAUUUGAAUGUUUAUUAGUACAAUUUCCUAAUAUUAGGUCAAGCACCAAGUGAAUGUUUCUUCAUAUCUACGUUACAAAGUGACUCUUAGUUUAAGUGAAAGAGUAGGAGUCAAGAGUGAUCACGGGCCCCACCUAAACCCCAAAGUGAGCUCCUCAACGAACCAAACGGCCAAAGCAUAUACCAAUAAUUUUAAACUUUAGCCAAAUUCAACCCUUCCACCAAAUUUAAUAUACAUAUAUGGAAUCUAUAAUAUAAAUAUCCAACAUGAGCUGUUAAAGUGCUUAUGCAAACAGUACUUAUAUAUCGAAACAAAUGUAUAAAGAACUUUGUAUUUAUUGAACUUUAGGUAUUUCAAAAAUGCAAGUUGCAAAUUAAACGGUGUCGUGUCGUAUACGUCCCAAUAACUAUAUGACACCGACCACUAUCACACAUAGACAAAUUAGCUUCAUAAGCAUGGUCGAUUAUUUCAAUGUUGUGAGUCCAAAUUCCAUAUCAUUCAUAGAUAGCAUAGAAAAAAGUAUUUUUUUUCUUUCUCAAAAUUGUACUAUUUUAUUAUCUAAAUAAAUAUCAUGCAACUUUUUCGAUA
This 3172-nucleotide long non-coding RNA is filed under the name Medicago truncatula (barrel medic). RNAcentral's name for it is "long non-coding RNA (MTRU_LNC000053)". The record is from RNAcentral. Lineage: Eukaryota; Viridiplantae; Streptophyta; Magnoliopsida; Fabales; Fabaceae.